CCCUUAGAUGUCCUGGGCUGCACGCGCGCUACACUGAUGUGUCCAGUAAGCACCUAACCUCUUCCGAAAGGAACGGGUAACCUUUGCAAAGCACAUCGUGAUGGGGAUAGAUUAUUGCAAUUAUUAGUCUGGAACGAGGAAUUCCUAGUAAGCACAAGUCAUCAGCUUGUGUUGAUUACGUCCCUGCCCUUUGUACACACCGCCCGUCGCUCCUACCGAUUGAAUGUUCCGGUGAGCUCUUCGGACUGCGCGGUCUGCAGUUUCUGCGUUCCGUGCGGAAAGUUGCGCAAACCUUAACAUUUAGAGGAAGGAGAAGUCGUAACA
This 324-nucleotide ribosomal RNA is filed under the name uncultured eukaryote. Its description in RNAcentral is "partial 18S ribosomal RNA". It matches the Rfam family "Eukaryotic small subunit ribosomal RNA", at positions 1470 to 1796 of the family's 1831-position model. The record is from RNAcentral.